Long non-coding RNA from Brienomyrus brachyistius, 978 nucleotides. RefSeq lists it as uncharacterized. NCBI's taxonomy places the organism in Eukaryota, Metazoa, Chordata, Actinopteri, Osteoglossiformes, Mormyridae. The record is from RefSeq and is a predicted model, not a curated record. The transcript has 3 exons.
UGCCAACAUCAGCGAGGAAACUUGAAGAACAUUCUGGGAUGAAAAGAACUGUCCUACGUAAUAACUGGACAACACUGACUCAGUUCGAAGACAACCAUCUAGUAUGAAGCUAAUGAGAUUUACUCCUGUGACCAGUCUGCUGCUUGUGACAGUUCUGCAGUUUUCGUAUGCAGUUGCUGAAACCAUGGAUUCAGAUGCGACAGAUGCCACGAUCGGAUCAGAUACGGCAGCCACGACACUGAGCCCAAACUCCGGAUCACAUACGACAGACGCCGGAUCAGAUAUGGCAGCCACGACACUGAGCCCGGACUCCGGAUCACAUAAUUCAGACACCGGAUUAGAUAUGGCAGCCACGACACUGAGCCCGAACUCCGGGUCACAUACGACAGGCGCCGGAUCAGAUACGGCAGCCACGGGAUCAGACACAACUAACACAGGAUCAGAUGCGACAGACGCCGGAUCAGAUACGACAAUCGCGACAUUGAUCCUGAUUGAUGAAUCAGAUGCGACAGCAACGACACAUAUCACCGAAUUCGAUAUGGCAGAGACGACAAUCAGCCAUGGCACCUCCGUGACCAUAACAAAAUGCUCUUUUGUGCUGACUCUGGUGUCUGUGUUACUCAUAUCAGCUCUGCAGUCAUUGUAAUACGAAUGCAUUUUUAUUUUUAUAUUAAUUCACAUGAAAAGGACACUGUAUGCACACGUUACUGUCUCAUUCGUGAAAUGCCUAAGGUAACAUGUAACCCAACUAGGCCUAUUCAACUGCGCAACUGGUGUCGAGUAAGUACGCAGUUCAGCGAUAAUUAUUUCUGGUAAUUAGCAUAUUCUGAGUACAGGAGCGAAGGCAAAUAUGAAGGCUGGGUCCAAAAAUUGGUGAUAAUAAAUAAUAUGUUCAUCAAACAAUAUUUUUAUAUUCUGUUCCUAUGUUUCCAUAAAACAGACUGUCUGCAAUGAAACAAUAAACACUAUAUAAAUUGC